GCCCCUCCCUCUAAAAGCACUCUGUGUGGGGAAGAUGAGAGCCAGAGCAAAGCUCAGAGGAACCAACCUGCACCUGGAUCUGGAUCUGGAUCUGGACCUGGACCUGGAUCCAGCUGUGUGUCCUUCAGGAGUGACUUCUCAAAGAGUCAUCCUCCUGACUUCAAAUCCAUCAGUUCAGCAGUGGAACAAGUGGACCUGCAGAGCUCAGAGACUCCCAGUGGUCCGUCUGUCCAGCAGCAUCAAAC
Long non-coding RNA from Oryzias melastigma (Indian medaka), 245 nucleotides. RefSeq lists it as uncharacterized. The record is from RefSeq and is a predicted model, not a curated record. NCBI's taxonomy places the organism in Eukaryota, Metazoa, Chordata, Actinopteri, Beloniformes, Adrianichthyidae. The transcript is spliced from 3 exons.